AUAAUGAUACUUCUGCCCAGCCACAGCCCCUUCGGGGAUCACGCAAUGGGGGCAGCCCGGUGAGAACCACGGGGAGGUUGGAUUCCUAUG
This 90-nucleotide non-coding RNA is filed under the name chicken gut metagenome. RNAcentral describes it as "pemK RNA". It matches the Rfam family "pemK RNA". The record is from RNAcentral.